GUAGGGGCCAAACGUUUGUCCGGAUUUAUUGGGCGUAAAGGGCUCGUAGGCGGUUCAACAAGUCGGUCGUGAAAUGCCGGGGCUCAACCCCCGGAACGCCGGCCGAAACUGUUGUGACUAGGGUCCGGUAGAGGUGAGUGGAAUUCUCGGUGUAGCGGUGGAAUGCGCAGAUAUCGAGAGGAACACCAGUUGCGAAGGCGGCUCACUGGGCCGGUACCGACGCUGAGGAGCGAAAGCAUGGGGAGCAAACAGGAUUAGAUACCCUGGUAGUCCAUGCCGUAAACUGUGAACACUAGGUGUGGCGGAUCUAUUGAUGUCUGCCGUACCGUAGCUAACGCGUUAAGUGUUCCGCCUGGGGAGUACGGCCGCAAGGCUA
Molecule: ribosomal RNA, 376 nt
Filed under: uncultured organism
Description: partial 16S ribosomal RNA
Rfam family: Bacterial small subunit ribosomal RNA
Source: RNAcentral